AGUCGAGGGGCAGCGCGGGAUAGCAAUAUUCUGGCGGCGACCGGCGGAAGGGUGCGUAACGCGUGAGCGACAUGCCCGUUGCCCGGGGACAACCGGUGGAAACGCCGACUAAUCCCCGAUGGGAUACGAUGCUGCAUGGCAUUGUAUUGAAAGUUACGGCGGCGACGGAUUGGCUCGCGUCCGAUUAGCUGGUUGGCGGGGUAACGGCUCACCAAGGCUGCGAUCGGUAGGGGUUCUGAGAGGAAGGCCCCCCACAAUGGGACUGAGACACGGCCCAUACUCCUACGGGAGGCAGCAGUGAGGAAUAUUGGUCAAUGGGCGGAAGCCUGAACCAGCCAUGCCGCGUGCGGGAAGGAGGCCCUAUGGGCUGUGAACCGCUUUUGCCUGGGGGCAAUAAGGGCGUCGCGCACGCCCGAUGAGAGUACCAGGCGAAUAAGCAUCGGCUAACUCCGUGCCAGCAGCCGCGGUAAUACGGGGGAUGCGAGCGUUAUCCGGAUUCAUUGGGUUUAAAGGGUGCGUAGGCUGUGCGUCAAGUCGGGGGUGAAAUUCCGGUGCUCA
This 558-nucleotide ribosomal RNA is filed under the name uncultured bacterium. Its description in RNAcentral is "bacterial SSU rRNA". It matches the Rfam family "Bacterial small subunit ribosomal RNA", at positions 60 to 611 of the family's 1533-position model. The record is from RNAcentral.